GUCAUCAUGGCCCUUACGGCCAGGGCUACACACGUGCUACAAUGGUCGGUACAAAGGGUUGCUACACAGCGAUGUGAUGCUAAUCUCAAAAAGCCGAUCGUAGUCCGGAUUGGAGUCUGCAACUCGACUCCAUGAAGUCGGAAUCGCUAGUAAUCGCGGAUCAGAAUGCCGCGGUGAAUACGUUCCCGGGCCUUGUACACACCGCCCGUCACACCAUGGGAGUUUGUUGCACCAGAAGUAGGUAGUCUAACCGCAAGGAGGACGCUUACCACGGUGUGGCCGAUGACUGGGG
Molecule: ribosomal RNA, 292 nt
Filed under: uncultured bacterium
Lineage: Bacteria
Description: partial 16S ribosomal RNA
Rfam family: Bacterial small subunit ribosomal RNA
Source: RNAcentral